RNAcentral lists this ribosomal RNA (251 nucleotides) under uncultured bacterium. RNAcentral's name for it is "partial 16S ribosomal RNA". It matches the Rfam family "Bacterial small subunit ribosomal RNA", at positions 85 to 339 of the family's 1533-position model. The record is from RNAcentral.
UUGGUGGCGAGUGGCGGACGGGUGAGUAACGCGUAGGAAUCUACCCAAUAGCAGGGGAUAGCCCGGGGAAACUCGGAUUAAUACCGCAUACGCCCCACGGGGGAAAGGCCGGGAUCUUCGGACCGGUCACUAUUGGAGGAGCCUGCGUAAGAUUAGCUUGUUGGUGAGGUAAAAGCUCACCAAGGCGACGAUCCAUAGCUGGUUUGAGAGGAUGAUCAGCCACACUGGGACUGAGACACGGCCCAGACUCC